This is an RNA transcript of Bombus huntii, 3935 nucleotides long. It is a transcript of the gene named transcription termination factor 5, mitochondrial, with no coding region annotated. The transcript has 8 exons. The record is from RefSeq and is a predicted model, not a curated record. NCBI's taxonomy places the organism in Eukaryota, Metazoa, Arthropoda, Insecta, Hymenoptera, Apidae.
UUUAUGGUAUUGUUUUAUGGAUAAGAUUCAAAUCCAUCUAACCUCAUGAUGGUUUUUAGAAUAUCAUAGAAGUAAUAACAUAGAAAAAAACAUUUUAUCAUACAUUAUAAUUAUUAUUUUUUAUAAUCAUACAAAUCAGUGACAUCUAAAAUGACUCUGAAUUAUUCAUAUAUGCGUUUAAUUGAGCUGAAUUUUAUAGUUUAAAUGAAUAAAAAUAAUAUUUUUGUUUUGUAGGUUAACCUUCAAAUAUUUUAAUUGUUUUCCCUCUUCUGACGUCUAGCUAAUUAUUGUAAAUAAAUGUAAAUCAAAAUGCUUAGCCAAAGAUUUGCAACAAAAUACGUCAUAAAACAAUUCGGAAAAUUAAUUUCCCCUUUUUCAACACAAAUAAAAAUUGAUGACAUAUUAACUACAUAUUUAAAACUCGAUAAUAAUACUAUUGAAACACUUCAUGAAUACGAAAAGAAGAGUAAAAUUAAAAAAAUAUCGAAAAACAGACUUGUUCGGAAUUGUAUAACAUUGCGCGAUUUGGAUGUAAAAUUAGAAAAGAACGAAUAUUUGCUAGAAUGCUUAAUGCUCGAUCCUAAACUCUUGAGGAAUAGAAUUCUUGUGCUUAAAGAAAUGGGCAUAGACUCUGUAGAUUUAUCUCAUAUUAGACGGUUUUCAACAUUAAUGCACAAAUCUGUGCACCAGUUCAAAAAGUUACAUGGCAUUUCAUCUAGUCAAAGUAUUAUGAGAACUUUAUUUUCUAAUGUAGGCAUUAAAGUUGAUAUACCUGAUCAAAAAAUGCUAAAAGAAGAGUCUCAUAUGCGAAUUGGUAGUUAUUAUCAAUUGUGUGUGGUAUACCAUAAAACAUAUCAUAUGAAAUUGCAUGAUGAAUUGUUUUAUAAACAGAAGAAAAUAAAAUAUUUAAGUCUUACAGAAAUGUCCAGAACGCUAGAUGUGCUGAAACAUAAAUGUCAGUUUGAUAUAGAAUUCUUAAAACAACACCUUUACCUUCUAAAUGUGGAUGUUGACAACGUUGAACAAUUUUUAAAUGAAUUUAAAUACCUAAAAAUAAAUAAUAAAAAUAUAAUUGAAAUAAUAAGAAUAUAUCCCCGAAUCCUGCUUCGUGAUGCAAGUGAAAUAAAAGAAUUAUUACAAAUUUUCCAGAACUUCGAAAUACCACAUGAAUCUCUAUAUACUACAAUGAAAGGUUUGAAAAUAAGGAAAGACACGUUUUUAAGACGGUAUAUUUCUAUGGAAAAUAACUUAGAGUUAGCUGUAUGGUUGAAGCAUCCACGAGUCUUGAUUAUGAUUUAUUUCUACAAAUUGGUCAUAAAUCGUUUAACAUAUAUGAAACAUUUAAACUUUACGAACAAUGCAAAUAUUAACACAUAUUUAUCAGAUAAGGAAUUCUUUUCGAGAUUUUUGGAAGGAGAUACUUAUGCAGCAACAAGAAAAUAUUUAGCAUAUAUUGUAAGGAAAGAACUAGGGCAUGACAAGGUUCAUGUUUUGUCUUCUAUUCAACGACAUGCUUAUUGGAAAUAUGUUUCACUGACACGCAUCAAUGAAACAAUACAAUAUUUGAAGAAACAUUUUUCAAUAGAUGAUAUAUGUAAAAAUAUUCAGAUUAUACUUUAUCCAAUGUCGACAAUUGAUAAUACAUUAAAUUUGUUGUACAAAGAAUGUUCCUUACAAGAUGGAUAUAAUUAUACUCCUACACAAUAUUUGGCAUUAUGCUUGUACAAGUUAGAACAAAAACAUCAUUUCAGUGGGGACGGAGUGUGGCAAGACGAAAUGUCAGUUUUUAAACCAAAUGUUUUGGAGGAUGUAUAUGAGCUUGAUCAACUUGUUGAUCAUAUAAAUUAUGGUUACAACGAAGUGAUCAAUUUAAAUGAAGCAGCAUGGCUUGAACAUUUACUACAAUACUAAGUAUACACCUCACUGAGCAGUGCACUAAAUCACCAGAAACCCCAGUGAAGUGCAUCCACUGUUAAGGAGACCAUCCUGCUAACUACAAAGGUUGCUCAGCCUAUAAAACCCUAUACAUAAAAAAGUAUCCUAAACUCAGAGCCAAAGACACAACCAAUCAAAUACCCAGUCCUCCAAAAUUCACUAUUACUUCAAUCUCUUAUGCCCAAGCAGUACAAGGAAAUCAAAAUAAUCCGAAAACCCAUAGGGACCAUUCUCAAAAUAGUAUUCCCAAUCCACAAAACACAGACAACUUCUCUAGACUUGAAAAAUUAAUCGAAAAACAAUCAGAACAAAUAAAUAACUUACUAUCAUUAUUAACACUCAUCAUGGAUAAAUUAAUACGCCUGACACAAAAUAAAACCAAGACGCAUAGCUCUUUGGAAUGCCAACGGUCUAGCUCAACACAAAUUCAAACUAGAACUCUUCCUAAAACAACAGCUAAUCGACGUAAUGCUCAUAUCUGAAACCCACUUCACCGACAAAAAAAAGACUACCUCCAAGCUACAAACGUAGCAAUAGAAGACUGCCAUGGUACAAUCACCACUUCAGCAGUACAUUGCCCUCCCAGACACUCCAUUGCUAAAGAAGACUUUGAUAACUUCCUUGAUGCUCUGGGCAAUAAAUUCAUAGUUGGAGGAGACUAUAACACCAAACAUACCCAAUGGGGCAGCAGACUUGUCACAGUAAGAGGCAAAAAUCUCUUGAAUCACCAACAAUCUCAACUACCUCACCACAUAUGAAUCCACAUAUUGGUCCACUGAUACUAACAAAAUACCUGACUUACUUGACUUCUUCAUAACUACAAAUAUCUCGCCAAGGUAUGUCCAAAUCAAUUCCUCGGCGGAUCUCUCUUCUGACCAUUCCCCCGUUAUAGCAACAGUCAGUUCAACAAUUAUCGAGAAUCCAUAACCAACUCAUCAACUGGCAGCUCUUUAGAGAAGUCUUUAAUCACUCAACUUCAGCCUCAAUUUCACUAAAAACAAAUGAAGAUAUCGAAACAGCCACGAAAUAUUUAAACACGAGCAUAAUAAACGCUACCUACUAAGACUUCUAUCAGCAAACAUGAAUAUCCCCAUUACAUAUUAAAAAAAAAUCGCAGAAAGACGUAGACUAAGAAGAGUAUGGCAGAUCAAUAGAACACCGGAUGACAAACGCAAACUAAACAACGCAACUAGGAAGUUAACCAAAAUCAUCAAAAAAUAUAAAAAUGAUUAGGUUAGGUGCUUUGAACACGUCGACAAAACAAAAGAAUGUGCUAAGACCACCUAUUGACAAAAUCUGCAAUCAAUUUUGAAUAUUUAUUAAAAAUUACUUUCGCAUACAAAUUUAAUAUUAACAUACAAAAUUACAAUAAGUUGUGUCGAAUUUUUUAGAUAUCUCAAAAGGAGUUGAUUAUUUAAGGCACGUUAUCGUCAAAUAAUUGAUUACAUGUUUUCAUUUUUAAGUGUAUUUAAAUGCGAGUAAUUACAAACGUCAUAAAAAGAUGGGCAGAGUACAAAAUACACACGAAAUAUCUCUGUAAAAGACUUUACAAGUUCAGGUGAUGUUUUAUACUCUCUCUAUAUAUGUACAUGAUUUCGUAUACACUACAGAGUAUUUGAAUAAAAUACAACACAACACGUUCAUUUUCAUUCGGUUUUUCUUAAUAACUACGAACAAGGGACAAAUAAUACAAAAGUACUCACACCUCAUACGAACUUACACCUUUAAGGCACUAGAAUGCUCUCAUUCAAUUAAUUGCUUCCCUUAAAAUAUUUUAUUUCUUACAGAUAUACGUUUAUUAUAAAAAAACAUAUUUUUUCCAGGGCUGCUUUCUUACUAAGAAGAAUCAACGAUUAUCGUAUUCUUAGUGUUAAACUUUCUUUUACAAAUGUAAUUCCAAUGAAUUUCAUGAAUCUUUUAAAGCUAUAUAAUACAAAAUAGAAUUACAUUGAGAACAGAAUAAACUUCAUAAAUAAAAGAAGCUUUCAAGAUCUCUCAAA